This 455-nucleotide ribosomal RNA is filed under the name uncultured bacterium. Its description in RNAcentral is "bacterial SSU rRNA". It matches the Rfam family "Bacterial small subunit ribosomal RNA", at positions 340 to 786 of the family's 1533-position model. The record is from RNAcentral.
UACGGAAGGCAGCAGUGGGGAAUAUUGCACAAUGGGCGAAAGCCUGAUGCAGCUAUGCCGCGUGUAUGAAGAAGGCCUUAGGGUUGUAAAGUACUUUCAUCGGGGAGGAAAAAACAAAACUAAUAAUUUUAUUUCUUGACGUUACCCGAAAAAGAAGCACCGGCUAACUCCGUGCCAGCAGCCGCGGUAAUACGGAGGGUGCUAGCGUUAAUCAGAAUUACUGGGCGUAAAGAGCACGUAGGUGGUUUUUUUAAGUCAGAUGUGAAAUCCCUGGGCUUAACCUAGGAACUGCAUUUUGAAACUGAAAUACUAGAGUAUCGUAGAGGGAGGUAGAAUUCUAGGUGUAGCGGUGAAAUGCGUAGAUAUCUGGAGGAUACCUGUGGCGAAAGCGGCCUCCUAAACGAAUACUGACACUGAGGUGCGAAAGCGUGGGGAGCAAACAGGGAUUAGAUACC